RNAcentral lists this ribosomal RNA (614 nucleotides) under uncultured bacterium. RNAcentral describes it as "bacterial SSU rRNA". It matches the Rfam family "Bacterial small subunit ribosomal RNA", at positions 28 to 638 of the family's 1533-position model. The record is from RNAcentral.
GAUGAACGCUAGCGGCAGGCUAAUACAUGCAAGUCGAGGGGCAGCACAGGUAGCAAUACUGGGUGGCGACCGGCGCACGGGUGCGUAACACGUAUACAAUCUACCUUUAUCUGGAGGAUAGCCCGGAGAAAUUCGGAUUAAUACUCCAUAACAUAUUGAAACGGCAUCGUUUUAAUAUUAAAGCUCAGGCGGAUAAAGAUGAGUAUGCGGAUGAUUAGCUAGUUGGUGAGGUAAUGGCUCACCAAGGCUACGAUCAAUAGGGGUACUGAGAGGUUAAACCCCCACACUGGUACUGAGACACGGACCAGACUCCUACGGGAGGCAGCAGUAAGGAAUAUUGGACAAUGGUGGCAACACUGAUCCAGCCAUGCCGCGUGCAGGAUGAAGGCGCUACGCGUUGUAAACUGCUUUUGUACCAGAGAAAACCUAUCUACGUGUAGAUAGCUGAUAGUAUGGUAAGAAUAAGCAUCGGCUAACUUCGUGCCAGCAGCCGCGGUAAUACGAAGGAUGCAAGCGUUAUCCGGAUUUAUUGGGUUUAAAGGGUGCGUAGGCGGACUUAUAAGUCAGUGGUGAAAUCUCGAUGCUUAACAUCGAACGUGCCAUUGAUACUGUAG